RNAcentral lists this ribosomal RNA (380 nucleotides) under Ototyphlonemertes macintoshi. RNAcentral describes it as "partial 16S ribosomal RNA". It matches the Rfam family "Bacterial large subunit ribosomal RNA", at positions 1833 to 2532 of the family's 2925-position model. The record is from RNAcentral. Lineage: Eukaryota; Metazoa; Nemertea; Enopla; Monostilifera; Ototyphlonemertidae.
GCUUUUUGUUUUUUAAAAGUUUGUUCUGCUCGGUGAUUUUUAACAGCCGCGGUACUUUGACCGUGCAAAGGUAGCAUAAUCACUUGCCUCGUAAUUGGGGGCUGGAAUGAAUGAAUUAACAAAGGCUUAACUUUAUUUUUUAGAUUAAAGGAAUUUUCUUUUUUAGUGAAGAAGCUAAAAUUGUAAAAGGGACAAGAAGACCCUUUUGAGCUUUACUAUAUUUUUUUUUAGGAUUUUUUAGUUUGGUUGGGGCGACCAAGGAAGAUCUUCCUUAUUAUUUUGAUCCGUUUAUAACGAUUAAAAGAAUAAGUUACCAAAGGGAUAACAGCGUAAUUUUUUUUGAGAGUUCUUAUUAAAUAAAGUGAUUGCGACCUCGAUGU